AUUUCUGACAGCAAAAAACAUAAUACCAUCGUUAAUGUGUACCAUGCUGUCAAAAAAGUUCUAACACUGCUUUAGAAAUAAAUGAAGUUUGAAGUUAGCCAUGCCUUAUGCUAGCGUUAGCUUUUUCGCUAGCACUCCAUGUACCUAAAUGGUUGUGAUCUUGCCAUAGUCAUGACUUGAAUUUAAACUAGUCUGAC
This is a long non-coding RNA of Sander lucioperca (pikeperch), 197 nucleotides long. RefSeq lists it as uncharacterized. The transcript has 3 exons. The record is from RefSeq and is a predicted model, not a curated record. Lineage: Eukaryota; Metazoa; Chordata; Actinopteri; Perciformes; Percidae.